Molecule: ribosomal RNA, 251 nt
Filed under: uncultured prokaryote
Description: partial 16S rRNA
Rfam family: Bacterial small subunit ribosomal RNA
Source: RNAcentral
ACGGGGGUUGCGAGCGUUGUCCGGAAUUACUAGGCGUAAAGGGCAGGCAGGCGGAUCUAUAAGUUUUUCGCUUAAGGCGUCAGCUUAACUGGCGUACGGCGGGAGAUACUGUAGAUCUGGAAUGCGGUUGGGGAAGACAGAAUUCCUGGUGUAGCGGUGAAAUGCGCAGAGCCUAGGAGGAAUACCGGAGGCGAAGGCAGCUCUCCAAGCCGUCAUUGACGCUCAACUUCGAAGGUUUGGGUAUCAAACAG